GGAAAUUAAACCAAAUGGGAUAUCUUUAGUAAUUGCGAAUGAACAAGGAUAUGCUUAGCUUGACAAAUGGAGCUAUUGGCUUUGAAUUGUAUUGUGGAAAUGUAUUACCAACAGAGGUGCAGGUGCCAGCCUAUUGAAAUAAAGCGUCAAUGAGGGUGAGAAUCCUGUUUGUCAUGUGCAGCCCUUUGUGCACGGUGUAUAUUUGCUGAGUCACACUCCUUGGCAUUGGAAUGCAAAGUGGGUGGUAAGUUUCAUGUAAAGGUAAACAUGCAAUUGAGACUGAUAGCACACAAGUACCAUGAGGGAAAUAUGAAAAGGACUUUGAAAAGAGAAUUAAAUGAGUUUGUAUUUGCUGAACACAAAGUAAACAGACUUGAUUUGCUUGGUGGGAGUGUUGCACUUGCUUGACAAGAGCUUUGGGCUGUGGGUGUAAUGAUUCUUUCUUUGCAUGCCAGUUUCUAUUUGUACAUCUGAUUACCUUUGCACAUGAAUGAUAAGUCUCCUGUGGGGGGUGGAUUGCAUGUGCAUGUAAUGAUUUGUGUUUUGAUAAAUGUGUCUGGUGUAUGUGUGUGUGUUCCUGUGCUUGGGGAUGCUUCCUUCCUUGGACUUACAAGCCCUGACACACACAUGCUGGCAAAAUGCUUCUGCUUGACCCGUCUUGAAACACGGACCAAGGAGUCUAACAGAUGUGCAAAGUUUGAAGGUGGUAUACCUUUGUGUGCAAUGAAAGUGUCAGCUGGGAUAUGUGCACCAGCACCCAAUUAAUUAGCGGACAGAGGUUUGAGUUGGAGCAUAUCUAUUAGGACCCGAAAGAUGGUGAACUAUGCCUGAACAGAAUGAAHUCAGAGGAAACUCUGAUGGAGGUUCGUAUCGAUACUGACGUGCAAAUCGUUCGUCAUAUUUGGGUAUAGGGGCGAAAGAC
RNAcentral lists this ribosomal RNA (922 nucleotides) under Alexandrium cf. catenella. RNAcentral's name for it is "eukaryotic LSU rRNA". It matches the Rfam family "Eukaryotic large subunit ribosomal RNA", at positions 55 to 931 of the family's 3401-position model. The record is from RNAcentral. Lineage: Eukaryota; Dinophyceae; Gonyaulacales; Pyrocystaceae.